CAGUAGCGUAUACGGUCAUUGUUGCAGUUAAAAAGCUCGUAGUUGGAUGAGAUUGGGAAAAAAGAAGAUCGCACUUUGAUGAAAAAUCAAAGAGGUCAACAAUUUUCCAAUUAUAUGAUUUAAUGAGGAGAUAUCAAGUUUUACUUGAUAAUGGAACGAAAGUGAAGUAGAGAAAAACUUUAGGGUUUUUCUUUUCUCCCAUUAUAGUUUACUUUGAAUAAAUUAGAGUGUUUAAAGCAAGUAGAAAUUUUCUAAAAUUUUGUAGGCUUGAAUAGAUUAGCAUGGGAUAAUGGAAUAGGACCAUCAGUUGAAUUGUUUUGGAACAGUUUGUCAACUGAUAGUAAUGAUUGAUAGGAGCGGUUGGGGGUAUUCGUAUUGAAUUAGAAGAGGUGAAAUUCAUGGAUUUGUUCAAGACGAACAUCAGCGAAAGCAUUUACCAAGGACGCUUCCGUUA
This 454-nucleotide ribosomal RNA is filed under the name uncultured eukaryote. RNAcentral's name for it is "partial 18S ribosomal RNA". It matches the Rfam family "Eukaryotic small subunit ribosomal RNA", at positions 592 to 975 of the family's 1831-position model. The record is from RNAcentral.